UAGUAACGGCGAGUGAAGAGGGAAAAGCUCAAAUUUUGAAUCUGGUGUCUUUGACUCCCGAGUUGUAAUCUAGAGAAGUGUUUUCCGCGUUGGACCGUGUACAAGUUCCCUGGAACGGGGCGUCAUAGAGGGUGAGAAUCCCGUAUAUGCCACGGACUGCCAAUGCUCUGUGAUACACUCUCAACGAGUCGAGUUGUUUGGGAAUGCAGCUCAAAAUGGGUGGUAAAUUCCAUCUAAAGCUAAAUAUUGGCGAGAGACCGAUAGCGAACAAGUACCGUGAGGGAAAGAUGAAAAGCACUUUGGAAAGAGAGUGAAACAGUACGUGAAAUUGUUGAAAGGGAAGCGUUUGAAGUCAGUCACGUCUGCCGGAAUUCAGCCUGGCUUCUGCCUGGUGUACUUUCCGUCCGACGGGUCAGCAUCAAUUUCGACCGAGGGAAAAGGACGUGAGGAAUGUGGCUGUCUUCGGGCAGUGUUAUAGACUCGCGUUGUAUGUCUCGGUUGGGAUUGUGGAACGCAAGGCGCCUAUUGGCCGGGGGUUCGCGCCCCUCGGUACGCGCUUAGGA
This 563-nucleotide ribosomal RNA is filed under the name uncultured Sebacinales. RNAcentral's name for it is "eukaryotic LSU rRNA". It matches the Rfam family "Eukaryotic large subunit ribosomal RNA", at positions 81 to 612 of the family's 3401-position model. The record is from RNAcentral. Lineage: Eukaryota; Fungi; Basidiomycota; Agaricomycetes; Sebacinales.